Long non-coding RNA from Astatotilapia calliptera (eastern happy), 3880 nucleotides. The record is from Ensembl. NCBI's taxonomy places the organism in Eukaryota, Metazoa, Chordata, Actinopteri, Cichliformes, Cichlidae.
UUACGUUAUUUAUUAACAAGUUAUUAACCCACACUUCAGAGAAAAUAACUGGAAAUUUCAAGCUAUUAAGUCAAAUCUUUUAGCUUGAAAUUAUGACUUAGCUCUGCCUGGCUUUUGGUUUUUUCCCCUUGCAUAAGGGAAGCCCUUUAUCAAUGUCUAGUGCAGGUUUAUCUGUGGAAAUAUGAAAAUCACCACAAAGGGAUAAGCUGUGAAGAUUCUGGCCAAAUAUGAUGGAAACUAACAUGAAGAAAAGAAAGUGAAACAGUGGAAAUAUUGAGAAACUACCUAUAACCGGGUGAAGCUGGCAGAAGGUGAUUCUCAGGAGGUUUUGUCUCUUUUGUUAGAGUCAUAUUUCAGUUUGGCACAUUGGAAAAUAUAGUGUGAAGUGACACAGGAGGUGAGAGUGUCAUAACUGAUGCUGCAGGAAGCAUCCCCAGGUUUACAUUUGUGGUGCCAAAGACGAGCCAACUCUGACAGUGCUCAAUCAAUCAAGUCUUUAUCUCAAACAAAAAACAAGUGUUCAUACAUUAAACGUGAAAUCAAAGUCAUCAUUUUCACGUGGAAAAAAUAAAAAUGUUGACAUUUGCUGUUUGAAAAGGAGGCGGCGAAAACAAAUGCUUAUGAAUUCCUAACCCAUAUUUUAUCUCGGUUUUAAUUAUACAAUCUAAAAUAUAAUAUAUGCUAUAAAUAAAUAUGCCUAACACACAGAUUCAUGUUGUACUUAAAUACAUUUUAUAUAUAACUUCUACAAUUAUUUAACCACCAUAUUUCAUAUUUCCAGAAGUAUUGCUUUUUACAUUACACACAAUUAUUUUUUAAUGCAUCACCACAUAAAUAUUCAAUACGCUAUCUCAUCCCUAUUGUUGAAGUUUUAGUUUCACUGUUAGUUUAGCAUAGGUGGGAAGAUUCAGAAAGUAUUUCCAUAAAAAUAAAACUUUCGUCUUGUCAGUUGUCUAAACCCUAUUUUUCACCCUUUCGAAGUCUAUGUUUUUUUUUAUUUUUUCGUACCAGUUAACCAAGUUGUUUUUUCCCCGUGACUAAAGUAUAAAGAAGGGCUACUUUAUUUAAAGCCUAGUUUUGCUUUUCAUAUUUUAGUUCUAUACAUUUCAUAAAUAUUCACAAGUGCUGUUUUCAUUAUCUUCAUUAGUAAAUGAUGGGUACGAGUGUGUUGUCUCAGUUUUAAUUAAAGUAUAAGAGUACUUCACCAGAUGAAGGUGAAGAGUGACUAACUCAGCUCUGCCCUCCAGAGGCUCAUUUGCAGAUUUUAGAAAAUGUUAGCUGGUAAUGGUGCACACAGGCAUAAAACAUGUUAAAGAAGGACUAAAAUGCUUUCACAUAUUAUAGUGUAAGACAAGUCACUUACUAUUAUUCAUCGUGCCAAGCAUUAAGCAUGUGCAAUGCAUUUAAUCAAUGUAGCAAAAUCUCUGCAUCCAGCAACUCGAGUAAGAGGUUUAGAACAAAGUCCUUUAUUUUUUGUGCCUCAAAACAAGAUCCCUAUAAUAAAACACCUUUUCACUGGAGCUUAACGUUUGACACUUUAUUCAACAACACAAUGAUAUCUAAAUGUUUUUAGUUUGCACAAAAUUUUUAAUCUCUUGUACCAAGUUUUUUUUUUUUAAACCAGGACUCUGUAGCUUUACAAGCUUCUUCAGCUAAAAGAGUUAGUCUCACAUUUUAUUUUUUACUCUUUGCAUUACUUUACUUUGGAUUGCAACACCUUGAUUUUCUUUUUUAGGCAUUCUGUAGAUUUGCUCCAGUUCUUGGGAACAUUAUCAUAUUAAAUGAACCAAUUUCAGUCAUCUUUUAGCUGUUUAUAGACGAUGUGAAGCCAUCUGAGUGCAUGGCCGACUCAGUGACUGCAACGUGCACAUGUCCUGUUGCUGCAAAACAAGCUAAAAUCACGACCCCUCCACCACUGUGCUUGACAGCUGGUAUGAGGUGGUGAGUUGAUAUGCCACGUAUGGUUCUCUCUGUUCUUCAUGGACAAACAUCUCUACUUUGGUCUCAUCUGGCCAAAGGACAUUGCUCCAGAGGUCGGGUGGUUUGUUCAAGCCAUGCUGCCAUGUUCUUUUUAGAGAGAAGUCUCUUGAAGCAUUUCCAAACAAGUCGGUCCUUUUGCAAGCGAGCUGUUAUGAACUUUAACAUGCAGUGGCCUGUAGUCUUCAAAAGAAAAAAUAUAAAACAAACACUUCACACAGAAACCCCAGCACGCUACAUUUCAAAGCUUUGCUGUCUAACCUCGAGGUAAAUUUGCUAAGAUGCCCACUCCUGGAAAGAAUAGGGCAUGUUAACACUCACCUGCAUGCUCCAGAACAAUAAAACCGCUGCUCUUAUAGAAGCGCUCACGCGUGUAUGAAAUAAAGAAAAGACUCCUCUUAAAUGUACAAAGUUUUAUUCAGAAGUAACAAAGUGGACUCUUUAUGUACUUACAGAAGUUUCCACAAAAAGAAUCAAGGCCCACAAAAGAAAGGCUGAACUGUGAUUUGAGGAGGGUGUGACUCACUUUAGAUAAACUUUGAUCCCAUGCAGGAAGAAGUGUUAGAGCUGAAGCAGAACAGAAAAGUUACCUGCUACAUGGACAAUGAUCAGCUACUUUGGUCGAAAAUGAGAGGAAGGGGGGGGGGGGGGGGUAAUUGUUCUACGAGCAGGAACCACAUAGACAAAGAAAAAGGCAUUUGGUGGGGAAAAAAAGUAAAUUGGAGGCAGAUUAUGUUGUGCUGGGAAGUUGGAUAAGGGGGUGGAGUAUGAAGUAAGGGCAGAUCGGUGAGGUCACCAUCAAUCAGAAGAAUGUGAGGAGAAAAAGAAAUAUGCAAAUGUGUUUAUGUGUGAGGAGGGGAGCUGUCAGUUCAAAAGAGGGAGAGAGGCUGAGAGAAAAUGACAGACGUGGCCCGAGGAAAGGAAAGGCGCGUUUGAGAAAGACAACCCCUGGGAGGCUGCACGGUGAACCCACUGCCCCGUCUCAGCCCUCCUCCUCCUCCCCGCCUGUGUGCUUUGCCAUGGUUACCAGACAGGGCUCCCAAUGCAGCCAGUUAAUGCGUUUUUCAGCAGCAGGAGCGAGCUGCGUACUAAUGUGUCUCAGUCUGUCUCCUGCACAAUCAAUGUCAACUGUCCUGGGAUGCACAAACACAUGGAGGGCUGCGAGCCAGGGAACACAGAGCCACCCUGGCUGAGCGUCAGAGGCUGAAAGAAGGCUGCAUCGCUUUCAUUUUUAGUCACCUGGAAAGUUUUACUUGCAUUAUCUGCAGAAGCCUUGAGUCACAUGUCGAUCUUUCUUACACAGGUAUGAAAUGUUGAAAAAGUAUCCCACAAGAUAAAGGAACACAGCUUAUUAGUUUGAAAUGCUUUCAAGUGCUCUUAUAUUUAUUGGAUUCACAAGGCAUUUAAAUACAAUAACACAUCACAUCCAUAAAAAUACUGGAUGUACCAACAUCUAACUUAAAAUUUGCCAGUUUUCUGUUAACCUAAAGAGCUAAUUUAGUCUUAAAGUGUAGAAAAGAAACAUGAAUAAUUCCCUAUCGUUUUCAGGAAUGUGUUAAAAGGGAACUCGCACAAAUUUUCAGCUGCCAUGAGGAGCUUAAAACUCUCCCUAAAGGUUCCAAUGUUGUAGUUUUCCAUCUCUGGAGUUAAAGAAGUCCUGUGCGAAUCAUAUCGGGGUCACGACCAUUGGCUGUCUUUAUUAAAAGAUGGCUGAUACUCAGAGCACAAAGCCGGCCAAAAGGUUCUGCCCCCUGGAGAGAACCAUGCUGUCUCUUCUCAGCUUUUCCAGGAUGAGUGGGAAGGUUAGGAAACUCUCUGGAGAUCAUUCUGCACACUCUGGAGCUUUUACUUUUGCUGGUCUUUAUUAAAGAACAUUGUUUUUGGCAUCCAGAAGCAAAUGCAU